Molecule: ribosomal RNA, 404 nt
Filed under: Verrucomicrobiota bacterium
Lineage: Bacteria; Pseudomonadati; Verrucomicrobiota
Description: Verrucomicrobia bacterium partial 16S ribosomal RNA
Rfam family: Bacterial small subunit ribosomal RNA
Source: RNAcentral
UGGGGAAUAUUGCACAAUGGGGGAAACCCUGAUGCAGCGACGCCGCGUGAGCGAUGAAGGCUUUCGAGUCGUAAAGCUCUGUCCUAUGGGAAGAUAAUGACGGUACCAUAGAAGAAAGCCCCGGCUAAUUACGUGCCAGCAGCCGCGGUAAUACGUAAGGGGCGAGCGUUGUCCGGAAUUAUUGGGCGUAAAGAGUGCGUAGGCGGCAAAUUAAGUCAGAUGUGAAAACUAAGGGCUCAACCCAUAGAUUGCAUCUGAAACUGAUAUGCUUGAGUCAAGGAGAGGAAAGUGGAAUUCCUAGUGUAGCGGUGGAAUGCGUAGAUAUUAGGAGGAAUACCGGUGGCGAAGGUGACUUUCUGGACUUGAACUGACGCUGAGGCACGAAAGCGUGGGGAGCAAACAGG